RNAcentral lists this ribosomal RNA (253 nucleotides) under uncultured bacterium. RNAcentral's name for it is "partial 16S ribosomal RNA". It matches the Rfam family "Bacterial small subunit ribosomal RNA", at positions 524 to 776 of the family's 1533-position model. The record is from RNAcentral.
UACGGAGGGUGCAAACGUUGCUCGGAAUCAUUGGGCGUAAAGCGCAUGUAGGCGGCAUGUUAAGUCGGGUGUGAAAGCCCAAGGCUCAACCUUGGAAGUGCAUUCGAAACUGGCGUGCUUGAAUAUGGACGAGGGUCGCGGAAUUCCCGGUGUAGAGGUGAAAUUCGUAGAUAUCGGGAGGAACACCAGUGGCGAAGGCGGCGACCUGGGCCAAUAUUGACGCUAAGAUGCGAAAGCGUGGGGAGCAAACAGG